This 497-nucleotide ribosomal RNA is filed under the name uncultured bacterium. RNAcentral describes it as "partial 16S ribosomal RNA". It matches the Rfam family "Bacterial small subunit ribosomal RNA", at positions 28 to 507 of the family's 1533-position model. The record is from RNAcentral.
GAUGAACGCUGGCGGCGUGCCUAAUACAUGCAAGUCGAGCGAACAGACGAGGAGCUUGCUCCUCUGACGUUAGCGGCGGACGGGUGAGUAACACGUGGAUAACCUACCUAUAAGACUGGGAUAACUUCGGGAAACCGGAGCUAAUACCGGAUAAUAUAUUGAACCGCAUGGUUCAAUAGUGAAAGACGGUUUUGCUGUCACUUAUAGAUGGAUCCGCGCCGCAUUAGCUAGUUGGUAAGGUAACGGCUUACCAAGGCAACGAUGCGUAGCCGACGUGAGAGGGUGAUCGGCCACACUGGAACUGAGACACGGUCCAAACUCCUACGGGAGGCAGCAGUAGGGAAUCUUCCGCAAUGGGCGAAAGCCUGACGGAGCAACGCCGCGUGAGUGAUGAAGGUCUUCGGAUCGUAAAACUCUGUUAUUAGGGAAGAACAAAUGUGUAAGUAACUAUGCACGUCUUGACGGUACCUAAUCAGAAAGCCACGGCUAACUACGUG